This 561-nucleotide small RNA is filed under the name Rhizobium sp. NXC14. RNAcentral's name for it is "miscellaneous other RNA". Lineage: Bacteria; Pseudomonadati; Pseudomonadota; Alphaproteobacteria; Hyphomicrobiales; Rhizobiaceae. The record is from RNAcentral.
CUUGGGCGGAAUGAUGCAGGAAUUGGGAAAAGCCACGCGCGGCACGCUGCCGGCGUCGUGCUCAUAGAAACGAACGGCGUCUGGGCACGGCCGCCACGACAUGAAGGUAGGAAGACAUGCAGGUUAUCGAAACGCUCGCUGAAGGGCUGAAGCGCGAAAUCAAGGUCGUUAUCCCGGCCAAGGACAUGGAAGACAAGAUGAAUGAGCGUCUUGCCGAUGUGAAGGACAAGGUCCGCAUCAACGGCUUCCGUCCGGGCAAGGUCCCCGCUGCUCACCUGAAGAAGGUUUACGGCAAGUCGAUCAUGGCCGAUCUCGUCAACGAGAUCGUCCGCGAGCAGCCCGCCGCUAUCCUGUCCAGCCGCGGCGAGAAGUCGGCCACGCAGCCGGAAAUCGCCAUGACUGAGGACAAGGACGAGGCCGACAAGAUCCUCACCGCCCAGCAGGAUUUCGAAUUCACGCUGUCCUACGAAGUGCUGCCGCCGAUUGAGCUUAAGUCCGUCAAGGGCAUCAAGGUUACGCGCGAAGUCAUCGAUAUCUCGGAUGAGGAAGUCAACGAGCAGG